Molecule: ribosomal RNA, 478 nt
Filed under: uncultured bacterium
Lineage: Bacteria
Description: partial 16S ribosomal RNA
Rfam family: Bacterial small subunit ribosomal RNA
Source: RNAcentral
GACGAACGCUGGCGGCGUGCUUAACACAUGCAAGUCGAACGGUAAGGCCCUUCGGGGUACACGAGUGGCGAACGGGUGAGUAACACGUGGGCGAUCUGCCCUGCACUUCGGGAUAAGCCUGGGAAACUGGGUCUAAUACCGGAUAGGACCCUGGGAUGCAUGUCCUGGGGUGGAAAGCUUUUGCGGUGUGGGAUGGGCCCGCGGCCUAUCAGCUUGUUGGUGGGGUGAUGGCCUACCAAGGCGACGACGGGUAGCCGGCCUGAGAGGGGGACCGGCCACGCUGGGACGCGGGUACGGCCCAGACUCCUACGGGGGGGAGCAGUGGGGAAUAUUGCACAAUGGGCGCAAGCCUGAUGCAGCGACGCCGCGUGAGGGAUGACGGCCUUCGGGUUGUAAACCUCUUUCAGCACCGACGAAGCGCAAGUGACGGUAGGUGCAGAAGAAGGACCGGCCAACUACGUGCCAGCCGCCGCCGUAA